AAAAUUAGUUUAAUUAAAACAUUAGUUUUGGAUACUAAAAUUUACUUUGUA
Molecule: transfer RNA, 51 nt
Filed under: Armadillidium vulgare (common pillbug)
Lineage: Eukaryota; Metazoa; Arthropoda; Malacostraca; Isopoda; Armadillidiidae
Description: tRNA-Pro
Source: RNAcentral